This is a long non-coding RNA of Telopea speciosissima, 142 nucleotides long. RefSeq lists it as uncharacterized. NCBI's taxonomy places the organism in Eukaryota, Viridiplantae, Streptophyta, Magnoliopsida, Proteales, Proteaceae. The transcript has 3 exons. The record is from RefSeq and is a predicted model, not a curated record.
AAGAUCAAUUUAAUUUCAAAAAAAAAAUGAGUUGAUUUAAAAACCUGCCAGUCUGCUUGAGCAUAUCGAGCAUGUUAGUCUGGAAGACAUGAUCGACAGCCUCGACACUGACACCAGUACCGCUCUGGGGCAUGGCGAAGAC